Molecule: non-coding RNA, 159 nt
Filed under: Pseudozyma flocculosa PF-1
Lineage: Eukaryota; Fungi; Basidiomycota; Ustilaginomycetes; Ustilaginales; Ustilaginaceae
Description: Anthracocystis flocculosa PF-1 Eukaryotic small subunit ribosomal RNA
Rfam family: Eukaryotic small subunit ribosomal RNA
Source: Rfam by way of RNAcentral
CACCGCCCGUCGCUACUACCGAUUGAACGGCUUAAUGAGGACUUGGGAUUGGUAUUCGGGAGCUGGCAACGGCACCUGAAAGCUGAAAACUUGUUCAAAUUUGGUCGUUUAGAGGAAGUAAAAGUCGUAACAAGGUUUCUGUAGGUGAACCUGCAGAAG